This 463-nucleotide ribosomal RNA is filed under the name uncultured bacterium. Its description in RNAcentral is "partial 16S ribosomal RNA". It matches the Rfam family "Bacterial small subunit ribosomal RNA", at positions 28 to 507 of the family's 1533-position model. The record is from RNAcentral.
GACGAACGCUGGCGGCGUGCUUAACACAUGCAAGUCGAACGGUGAACCUCUUCGGAGGGGCUCAGUGGCGAACGGGUGAGUAACACGUGGGCAACCUGCCCCCGGCUCUGGGAUAACUCCAAGAAAUUGGGGCUAAUACCGGAUGUUCACCGCUUCCCGCAUGGGUGGUGGUGAAAAGGGUUUCCGGCUGGGGAUGGGCCCGCGGCCUAUCAGCUUGUUGGUGGGGUAGUGGCCUACCAAGGCGACGACGGGUAGGCGGCCUGGGAAGGUGACCGGGCACCAGAGGCCUACGGGACGGAGCAGAAGGGAAUGGGAGGCAAUGGGGGGAAGCAUGACGCAGCGGGGCCGAGCCCGAGACGAAGGCGUCGGGUGGGUGAUGACGGCCUUCGGGUGGUGAACCUCUUUCUGCAGAGACGAGGCGGAAGUGACGGUACCUGCAGAAGAAGCACCGGCCAACUACGUG